This 61-nucleotide microRNA precursor is filed under the name Mustela putorius furo (domestic ferret). Its description in RNAcentral is "miRNA (ENSMPUG00000023367.1)". Lineage: Eukaryota; Metazoa; Chordata; Mammalia; Carnivora; Mustelidae. The record is from RNAcentral.
GUGUGUGUGUGUGUGUGCAUGUGCGUGUGCACACACGCAUUUGCAUUUCAUUUUCUUGCAG